GAGAAGUAGACAGUGUGUGUGUGUGUUUGCCCACAUUGUUAGCUGGAAAUCAGAUUUCACAAGCUCCUCAGGGGUUAAUACCCUUAAACUGUCAGAAUAUUUAAGAAGGUAUACAUAAGUGGUUUAUUCUUUUGUGAACAUUCCUUAGUGUCACUGUGUGUGUGUGUGUGUGUGUGUGUGUGCAUGCUCAUGCUUGCCUGCAGAAGUCAGCAGCUCCAUUUUGUUACGACUGAAAAAUAAAACAUUUCAGGAGUAAAAACACAUAUAAACUGUAAUGAGUGAAAGUCAGCAGCUCCAUUUUGUGACGAGUGAAAACUAAAAGAUGUCAGGAGUAAAAACACAUAUCUCCAGUGUACAGUGUGGAUUCUUCAGUCCAUUAGAGAGCAGCUUCACUCCUGAAUCCUGCAGUUUAUUGCGACUCAGGUUCAGUUUUCUCAGACUGGAGGAGUUUGAGCUGAGAACUGAGGACAGAACUCUACAGCUUUCCUCUGUCAGAUUACACUUCCACAGCCUGGAAGAGAAAUGAUGAAAUAUCAGAACACUGAUCUCAAACACACACACAGCCACAAUCCAGCUAAAGUUGAAGAUGUAACAGAAAUGUCAGUGUGUUUAUGUCACACACACAAAUCAGAGGACAGGGACACCACAGAACUAGCUAUUACAACCCAUCAAUACUGACACCAUCAACAACUGAAUCAUUUGUAGAAGUUUUUGUAACAUUACUGAUGAUCUGAAUCCAUUGGGAUUUUGUCAUAAUAAAUCAGAUAUCACAUAUAAAA
Long non-coding RNA from Tachysurus vachellii, 779 nucleotides. RefSeq lists it as uncharacterized. Lineage: Eukaryota; Metazoa; Chordata; Actinopteri; Siluriformes; Bagridae. The transcript has 3 exons. The record is from RefSeq and is a predicted model, not a curated record.